UUUCAGACUGGGAAGCUGAGGACAGAACAAAAAGGGUGGGACUGCUGUGCAAUGGCUGCAGACAGCAGCCACCUCAGUCGUGUCCUCAGCCGGUUGCCCUAAGGGACCUUGGAGACAGCC
This 120-nucleotide small nucleolar RNA is filed under the name Moschus moschiferus (Siberian musk deer). RNAcentral describes it as "Small nucleolar RNA SNORA70 (ENSMMSG00000015013.1)". It matches the Rfam family "Small nucleolar RNA SNORA70". From Rfam's summary of the family: snoRNA U70 seems to be exclusive to mammals and is a member of the H/ACA class of snoRNA which contain H (ANANNA) and ACA box motifs. H/ACA box snoRNAs are involved in the conversion of uridines to pseudouridines (5-ribosyluracil) a constituent of structural RNAs (transfer, ribosomal, small nuclear, and small nucleolar). Lineage: Eukaryota; Metazoa; Chordata; Mammalia; Artiodactyla; Moschidae. The record is from Rfam by way of RNAcentral.